UAUCGGAUUGAUACUAAGCCAUGCGAGUCAUUGCAGUAAUGCAAGGCAGACGGCUCAGUAACGCGUAGUCAACCUACCCUAUGGACGGGAAUAACCUCGGGAAACUGAGUAUAAUGCCCGAUAGAACACUAUACCUGGAAUGGUUUGUGUUCCAAAUGAAUGUCGCCGUAGGAUGGGACUGCGGCCUAUCAGUUUGUUGGUGAGGUAAUGGCCCACCAAGACUAUUACAGGUACGGGCUCUGAGAGGAGUAGCCCGGAGAUGGGUACUGAGACACGGACCCAGGCCCUAUGGGGCGCAGCAGGCGAGAAAACUUUGCAAUGUGCGAAAGCACGACAAGGUUAAUCCGAGUGGUUUGUGCUAAACGAACCUUUUGACAGUCCUAGAAACACUGUUGAAUAAGGGGUGGGCAAGUUCUGGUGUCAGCCGCCGCGGUAAAACCAGCACCUCAAGUGGUCAGGAUGAUUAUUGGGCCUAAAGCAUCCGUAGCCGGCUCUGUAAGUUUUCGGUUAAAUCUGUACGCUCAACGUACAGGCUGCCGGGAAUACUGCAGAGCUAGGGAGUGGGAGAGGUAGACGGUACUCGGUAGGAAGGGGUAAAAUCCUUUGAUCUAUUGAUGACCACCUGUGGCGAAGGCGGUCUACCAGAACACGUCCGACGGUGAGGGAUGAAAGCUGGGGGAGCAAACCGGAUUAGAUACCCGGGUAGUCCCAGCUGUAAACUAUGCAAACUCAGUGAUGCAUUGGCUUGUGGCCAAUGCAGUGCUGCAGGGAAGCCGUUAAGUUUGCCGCCUGGGAAGUACGUACGCAAGUAUGAAACUUAAAGGAAUUGGCGGGGGAGCACCACAAGGGGUGAAGCCUGCGGUUCAAUUGGAGUC
RNAcentral lists this ribosomal RNA (875 nucleotides) under uncultured archaeon. RNAcentral describes it as "bacterial SSU rRNA". It matches the Rfam family "Archaeal small subunit ribosomal RNA", at positions 31 to 913 of the family's 1478-position model. The record is from RNAcentral.